UACAGGGGGUGCAAACGUUGCUCGGAAUCAUUGGGCGUAAAGCGCACGUAGGCGGUUCGUUAUGUCGGAUGUGAAAGCCCUUGGCUUAACCGAGGAAGUGCAUCCGAAACUGGCGAGCUAGAGUACGAAAGAGGAUCGCGGAAUUCCCGGUGUAGAGGUGAAAUUCGUAGACAUCGGGAGGAACACCGGUGGCGAAGGCGGCGAUCUGGGUCGAUACUGACGCUGAGGUGCGAAAGCGUGGGGAGCAAACAGG
This 253-nucleotide ribosomal RNA is filed under the name uncultured bacterium. Its description in RNAcentral is "partial 16S ribosomal RNA". It matches the Rfam family "Bacterial small subunit ribosomal RNA", at positions 524 to 776 of the family's 1533-position model. The record is from RNAcentral.